Molecule: ribosomal RNA, 1264 nt
Filed under: Enterobacter asburiae
Lineage: Bacteria; Pseudomonadati; Pseudomonadota; Gammaproteobacteria; Enterobacterales; Enterobacteriaceae
Description: partial 23S ribosomal RNA
Rfam family: Bacterial large subunit ribosomal RNA
Source: RNAcentral
GUUAUCACGGGAGACACACGGCGGGUGCUAACGUCCGUCGUGAAGAGGGAAACAACCCAGACCGCCAGCUAAGGUCCCAAAGUCAUGGUUAAGUGGGAAACGAUGUGGGAAGGCACAGACAGCCAGGAUGUUGGCUUAGAAGCAGCCAUCAUUUAAAGAAAGCGUAAUAGCUCACUGGUCGAGUCGGCCUGCGCGGAAGAUGUAACGGGGCUAAACCAUGCACCGAAGCUGCGGCAGCGACGCUUAUGCGUUGUUGGGUAGGGGAGCGUUCUGUAAGCCGUUGAAGGUGUGCUGUGAGGCAUGCUGGAGGUAUCAGAAGUGCGAAUGCUGACAUAAGUAACGAUAAAGCGGGUGAAAAGCCCGCUCGCCGGAAGACCAAGGGUUCCUGUCCAACGUUAAUCGGGGCAGGGUGAGUCGACCCCUAAGGCGAGGCCGAAAGGCGUAGUCGAUGGGAAACAGGUUAAUAUUCCUGUACUUGGUGUUACUGCGAAGGGGGGACGGAGAAGGCUAUGUUAGCCGGGCGACGGUUGUCCCGGUUUAAGCAUGUAGGCGGAACGAUUAGGUAAAUCCGGUCGUUUAUUAACGCUGAGGUGUGAUGACGAGGCACUACGGUGCUGAAGUAACAAAUGCCCUGCUUCCAGGAAAAGCCUCUAAGCAUCAGGUAACAUCAAAUCGUACCCCAAACCGACACAGGUGGUCAGGUAGAGAAUACCAAGGCGCUUGAGAGAACUCGGGUGAAGGAACUAGGCAAAAUGGUGCCGUAACUUCGGGAGAAGGCACGCUGAUAUGUAGGUGAAGCCCCUGCGGGUGGAGCUGAAAUCAGUCGAAGAUACCAGCUGGCUGCAACUGUUUAUUAAAAACACAGCACUGUGCAAACACGAAAGUGGACGUAUACGGUGUGACGCCUGCCCGGUGCCGGAAGGUUAAUUGAUGGGGUUAGCGGCAACGCGAAGCUCUUGAUCGAAGCCCCGGUAAACGGCGGCCGUAACUAUAACGGUCCUAAGGUAGCGAAAUUCCUUGUCGGGUAAGUUCCGACCUGCACGAAUGGCGUAAUGAUGGCCAGGCUGUCUCCACCCGAGACUCAGUGAAAUUGAACUCGCUGUGAAGAUGCAGUGUACCCGCGGCAAGACGGAAAGACCCCGUGAACCUUUACUAUAGCUUGACACUGAACACUGGUCCUUGAUGUGUAGGAUAGGUGGGAGGCUUUGAAGCGUGGACGCCAGUCUGCGUGGAGCCGACCUUGAAAUACCACCCUUUAAUGGCU